RNAcentral lists this ribosomal RNA (486 nucleotides) under uncultured bacterium. RNAcentral describes it as "partial 16S ribosomal RNA". It matches the Rfam family "Bacterial small subunit ribosomal RNA", at positions 30 to 507 of the family's 1533-position model. The record is from RNAcentral.
AUUGAACGCUGGCGGCAUGCCUUACACAUGCAAGUCGAACGGCAGCACGGGUGCUUGCACCUGGUGGCGAGUGGCGAACGGGUGAGUAAUACAUCGGAACAUGUCCUGUAGUGGGGGAUAGCCCGGCGAAAGCCGGAUUAAUACCGCAUACGAUCUACGGAUGAAAGCGGGGGACCUUCGGGCCUCGCGCUAUAGGGUUGGCCGAUAGCUGAUUAGCUAGUUGGUGGGGUAAAGGCCUACCAAGGCGACGAUCAGUAGCUGGUCUGAGAGGACGACCAGCGCCACUGGGAGUGAGACACGGCCCAGACUCCUACGGGAGGCAGAAGUGGGGAAUUUUGGACAAUGGGCGAAAGCCUGAUCCAGCAAUGCCGCGUGUGUGAAGAAGGCCUUCGGGUUGUAAAGCACUUUUGUCCGGAAAGAAAUCCUUGGCUCUAAUACAGUCGGGGGAUGACGGUACCGGAAGAAUAAGCACCGGCUAACUACGUG